UACGUAGGUGGCAAGCGUUGUCCGGAUUUAUUGGGUUUAAAGGGUGCGUAGGCGGUUUUGUAAGUCAGUGGUGAAAUACUCUAGCUUAACUAGAGGGGUGCCAAUGAUACUGCAAGACUUGAGUACAGAUGAGGUAGGCGGAAUUGACGGUGUAGCGGUGAAAUGCGUAGAUAUCAGGAGGAACACCUGCGGUGUAGACGGCUUUCUGGACCAUUGUUGACGCUGAGACACGAAAGCGUGGGUAGCAAACAGG
Molecule: ribosomal RNA, 253 nt
Filed under: uncultured bacterium
Lineage: Bacteria
Description: partial 16S ribosomal RNA
Rfam family: Bacterial small subunit ribosomal RNA
Source: RNAcentral